RNAcentral lists this ribosomal RNA (253 nucleotides) under uncultured bacterium. Its description in RNAcentral is "partial 16S ribosomal RNA". It matches the Rfam family "Bacterial small subunit ribosomal RNA", at positions 524 to 776 of the family's 1533-position model. The record is from RNAcentral.
UACGUAGGGGGCAAGCGUUAUCCGGAUUUACUGGGUGUAAAGGGAGCGUAGACGGCUGUGCAAGUCUGAAGUGAAAGCCCGGGGCUUAACCCCGGGACUGCUUUGGAAACUGUAUAGCUUGAGUGCAGGAGAGGUAAGCGGAAUUCCUAGUGUAGCGGUGAAAUGCGUAGAUAUUAGGAGGAACACCAGUGGCGAAGGCGGCUUACUGGACUGCAACUGACGUUGAGGCACGAAAGCGUGGGGAGCAAACAGG